This 1528-nucleotide ribosomal RNA is filed under the name Klebsiella pneumoniae. RNAcentral describes it as "bacterial SSU rRNA". It matches the Rfam family "Bacterial small subunit ribosomal RNA". The record is from RNAcentral. Lineage: Bacteria; Pseudomonadati; Pseudomonadota; Gammaproteobacteria; Enterobacterales; Enterobacteriaceae.
AGAGUUUGAUCAUGGCUCAGAUUGAACGCUGGCGGCAGGCCUAACACAUGCAAGUCGAGCGGUAACACAGAGAGCUUGCUCUCGGGUGACGAGCGGCGGACGGGUGAGUAAUGUCUGGGAAACUGCCUGAUGGAGGGGGAUAACUACUGGAAACGGUAGCUAAUACCGCAUAACGUCGCAAGACCAAAGUGGGGGACCUUCGGGCCUCAUGCCAUCAGAUGUGCCCAGAUGGGAUUAGCUAGUAGGUGGGGUAACGGCUCACCUAGGCGACGAUCCCUAGCUGGUCUGAGAGGAUGACCAGCCACACUGGAACUGAGACACGGUCCAGACUCCUACGGGAGGCAGCAGUGGGGAAUAUUGCACAAUGGGCGCAAGCCUGAUGCAGCCAUGCCGCGUGUGUGAAGAAGGCCUUCGGGUUGUAAAGCACUUUCAGCGGGGAGGAAGGCGAUAAGGUUAAUAACCUUGUCGAUUGACGUUACCCGCAGAAGAAGCACCGGCUAACUCCGUGCCAGCAGCCGCGGUAAUACGGAGGGUGCAAGCGUUAAUCGGAAUUACUGGGCGUAAAGCGCACGCAGGCGGUCUGUCAAGUCGGAUGUGAAAUCCCCGGGCUCAACCUGGGAACUGCAUUCGAAACUGGCAGGCUAGAGUCUUGUAGAGGGGGGUAGAAUUCCAGGUGUAGCGGUGAAAUGCGUAGAGAUCUGGAGGAAUACCGGUGGCGAAGGCGGCCCCCUGGACAAAGACUGACGCUCAGGUGCGAAAGCGUGGGGAGCAAACAGGAUUAGAUACCCUGGUAGUCCACGCCGUAAACGAUGUCGAUUUGGAGGUUGUGCCCUUGAGGCGUGGCUUCCGGAGCUAACGCGUUAAAUCGACCGCCUGGGGAGUACGGCCGCAAGGUUAAAACUCAAAUGAAUUGACGGGGGCCCGCACAAGCGGUGGAGCAUGUGGUUUAAUUCGAUGCAACGCGAAGAACCUUACCUGGUCUUGACAUCCACAGAACUUAGCAGAGAUGCUUUGGUGCCUUCGGGAACUGUGAGACAGGUGCUGCAUGGCUGUCGUCAGCUCGUGUUGUGAAAUGUUGGGUUAAGUCCCGCAACGAGCGCAACCCUUAUCCUUUGUUGCCAGCGGUUAGGCCGGGAACUCAAAGGAGACUGCCAGUGAUAAACUGGAGGAAGGUGGGGAUGACGUCAAGUCAUCAUGGCCCUUACGACCAGGGCUACACACGUGCUACAAUGGCAUAUACAAAGAGAAGCGACCUCGCGAGAGCAAGCGGACCUCAUAAAGUAUGUCGUAGUCCGGAUUGGAGUCUGCAACUCGACUCCAUGAAGUCGGAAUCGCUAGUAAUCGUAGAUCAGAAUGCUACGGUGAAUACGUUCCCGGGCCUUGUACACACCGCCCGUCACACCAUGGGAGUGGGUUGCAAAAGAAGUAGGUAGCUUAACCUUCGGGAGGGCGCUUACCACUUUGUGAUUCAUGACUGGGGUGAAGUCGUAACAAGGUAACCGUAGGGGAACCUGCGGUUGGAUCACCU